GUCCUUGUAGAUCAACGGUAGAUCGUCCAUCUAUGAUUGACUAUAGAUAGCCUCCCUUCAGUGGAAGGUGUGGGUUCGACUCCCACCGAGGACA
Molecule: non-coding RNA, 94 nt
Organism: Mycena capillaripes
Lineage: Eukaryota; Fungi; Basidiomycota; Agaricomycetes; Agaricales; Mycenaceae
Source: the annotation of a GenBank genome assembly